Molecule: ribosomal RNA, 450 nt
Filed under: uncultured bacterium
Lineage: Bacteria
Description: bacterial SSU rRNA
Rfam family: Bacterial small subunit ribosomal RNA
Source: RNAcentral
AACGAACGCUGGCGGCAGGCUUAACACAUGCAAGUCGAGCGUCCUCGCAAGGGGGCGCGGCAGACGGGUGCGUAACGCGUGGGAACAUACCUCUCGGUUCGGAAUAACCCAGGGAAACUUGGGACAAUACCGGAUACGUGCGAAAGCAGAAAGAUUUAUCGCCGAGAGAUUGGCCCGCGUCCGAUUAGCUGGUUGGUGAGGUAACGGCUCACCAAGGCGACGAUCGGUAGCUGGUCUGAGAGGAUGAUCAGCCACACUGGGACUGAGACACGGCCCAGACUCCUACGGGAGGCAGCAGUGGGGAAUAUUGGACAAUGGGCGCAAGCCUGAUCCAGCCAUGCCGCGUGAGUGAUGAAGGCCCUAGGGUUGUAAAGCUCUUUCGCCAGGGACGAUAAUGACGGUACCUGGAUAAGAAGCCCCGGCUAACUUCGUGCCAGCAGCCGCGGUAAU